UACAGAGGUCUCAAGCGUUGUUCGGAAUCACUGGGCGUAAAGGGUGCGUAGGUGGCAUGGUAAGUCAGAUGUGAAAGCCUGGGGCUCAACCUCAGAAUUGCAUCCGAUACUGCUGUGCUAGAGUACUGGAGGGGUGACUAGAAUUCUCGGUGUAGCAGUGAAAUGCGUAGAUAUCGAGAGGAAUACCAAAGGCGUAGGCAGGUCACUGGACAGUUACUGACACUGAGGCACGAAGGCCAGGGGAGCAAACGGG
Molecule: ribosomal RNA, 253 nt
Filed under: uncultured bacterium
Lineage: Bacteria
Description: partial 16S ribosomal RNA
Rfam family: Bacterial small subunit ribosomal RNA
Source: RNAcentral